Molecule: non-coding RNA, 746 nt
Filed under: Pan troglodytes (chimpanzee)
Lineage: Eukaryota; Metazoa; Chordata; Mammalia; Primates; Hominidae
Source: RNAcentral
GGACGCGAGCCUGCUUCCAUCUGACGCUGGACGCUUGUCCCUGCCCCGCGUUGCCUUUUAAAUUUUAGCUCAUUCCGAGACACCUGCCGUCAGACAUUUAUGCAGUGUGUGAUUCUUUCUAAAACAACUCCCUGGAAGAGAGGACAUUUAAUUCAACAAUUUAUUGGCCACCUACUGUGCACCAGGCAGUAAACUUGGAACUGGGGCUACUGGGUUACAGCAGUGACCAAGACAGAGGUCCCUGUUCUUAAGGAGCAAGUGAGGGCAACAGAAAAGAGCAGUCAGCUGUCAUGCGAGGGCACUCAAGCAGCCCUGUGGAAAGCUCUACGUGGUGAGAAACUGAAGCCUCCUGCCAACACCAACAAGGAACUGAGACCUACUUCCAACAGCCAUCUGAGUGAUCCAUCCUGGAAUCAGAUCCUCCAGCCCCAGUCAAGUCUUCAGAUGACUGCAGCCCUGACCAGCAUCUCAACUGCAACCUCGUGAAUGACCCUGAGCCAGAACCAUGCAACUGAACUCUGCCUGGAUUCAUGACCCACAGAAACUGUGAGAUGGUAGCUGUUUGCUUUGUUAAGCCUCUAAGUCUGGAAAGAAUGUCUUAAGCAGUAGCAGACAAUGAACAAAAGAUUAUUAUUUAGCUGUUGAAUUGGAAGAGGAGGGGAAGAAAAAAUUUUCAGAUCACAGAAUAUUCAUCAUGUAAAACUUCAAAAAUUCUGAAAUUUAAGGAAAAAAUAUCAUUUGUUGGG